RNAcentral lists this transfer RNA (71 nucleotides) under Loxodonta africana (African savanna elephant). It matches the Rfam family "tRNA". Rfam says of the family: Transfer RNA (tRNA) molecules are approximately 80 nucleotides in length. Lineage: Eukaryota; Metazoa; Chordata; Mammalia; Proboscidea; Elephantidae. The record is from Rfam by way of RNAcentral.
GCCCUGGUAGCUCAAUGAUAAGCACUUGGCUGCUAACCAAAAAGUUGGUGGUUCGAACCCACCUAAUGGCU